This is an unclassified non-coding RNA of Callithrix jacchus (white-tufted-ear marmoset), 281 nucleotides long. It matches the Rfam family "Metazoan signal recognition particle RNA". From Rfam's summary of the family: The signal recognition particle (SRP) is a universally conserved ribonucleoprotein. It is involved in the co-translational targeting of proteins to membranes. The record is from Ensembl. NCBI's taxonomy places the organism in Eukaryota, Metazoa, Chordata, Mammalia, Primates, Cebidae.
GCCUAAUAAGAGACUCAGCUACUCAGGAGGCUGAGCCUGGAGGAUUCCUUGAGCCCAGGAGUUCUGGGCUGUAGUGUGCCAUACCAAUUGGGUGUUCACACUAAGUUUGUCAUGGAUAUCAUGACCUCCUGGGAGUAUGGAGCCACCAGGUUGCCUAAGGAGGGGUGAACGGGCCCUGGACAGAAAUGGAGCAGGUUAGAAUUUCUGUGAUUAGUAGUGGGAUCGUGCCUGUGAAUAGCCACUGCACUCCAGCCUGGAAAACAGAGUGAUUCCUGUCUGAA